This 462-nucleotide ribosomal RNA is filed under the name uncultured bacterium. RNAcentral's name for it is "bacterial SSU rRNA". It matches the Rfam family "Bacterial small subunit ribosomal RNA", at positions 355 to 822 of the family's 1533-position model. The record is from RNAcentral.
UCGAGAAUCUUCGGCAAUGGGCGAAAGCCUGACCGAGCGAUGCCGCGUGCGGGAUGAAGGCCUUCGGGUUGUAAACCGCUGUCGUAGGGGAGAAAGGGUCGUUGAAGAAACGACUUUGAUCUAUCCUAGGAGGAAGUCCGGGCUAAGUUCGUGCCAGCAGCCGCGGUAACACGAACCGGACAAACGUUAUUCGGAAUUACUGGGCUUAAAGGGUGCGUAGGCGGUGCGGUAAGUGCGGUGUGAAAUCCCACGGCUCAACCGUGGAAUUGCGCUGCAUACUGCCGUGCUAGAGGGAGACAGGGGUAAGCGGAACUGAUGGUGGAGCGGUGAAAUGCGUUGAUAUCAUCAGGAACACCGGUGGCGAAAGCGGCUUACUGGGUCUCUUCUGACGCUGAGGCACGAAAGCUAGGGUAGCGAACGGGAUUAGAUACCCCAGUAGUCCCUGAGCGGGCUGGCAAGGCG